GACGAACGCUGGCGGCGUGCUUAACACAUGCAAGUCGAACGGAAAGGCCUCUUUCGGGGGGUACUCGAGUGGCGAACGGGUGAGUAACACGUGAGUAACCUGCCCUUGACUUUGGGAUAACUUCAGGAGACUGGGGCUAAUACCGGAUAGGAGCUCCUGCUGCAUGGUGGGGGUUGGAAAGUUUCGGCGGUUGGGGAUGGACUCGCGGCUUAUCAGCUUGUUGGUGGGGUAGUGGCUUACCAAGGCUUUGACGGGUAGCCGGCCUGAGAGGGUGACCGGCCACAUUGGGACUGAGAUACGGCCCAGACUCCUACGGGAGGCAGCAGUGGGGAAUAUUGCACAAUGGGUGGAAGCCUGAUGCAGCAACGCCGUGUGCGGGAGGACGGCCUUCGGGUUGUAAACCGCUUUCGCUCAUGACGAAGCUUUGUGUGACGGUAGUGGGUAAAGAAGCACCGGCUAACUACGUG
RNAcentral lists this ribosomal RNA (467 nucleotides) under uncultured bacterium. Its description in RNAcentral is "partial 16S ribosomal RNA". It matches the Rfam family "Bacterial small subunit ribosomal RNA", at positions 28 to 507 of the family's 1533-position model. The record is from RNAcentral.